This 305-nucleotide ribosomal RNA is filed under the name uncultured bacterium. RNAcentral describes it as "bacterial SSU rRNA". It matches the Rfam family "Bacterial small subunit ribosomal RNA", at positions 334 to 656 of the family's 1533-position model. The record is from RNAcentral.
UAUGCCUACGGGAGGCAGCAGUGGGGAAUAUUGCACAAUGGGGGGAACCCUGAUGCAGCGACGCCGCGUGAGUGAAGAAGUAUGUCGGUAUGUAAAGUUCUAUCAGCAGGGGAGAAGAUGACGGUACCUGAGUAAGAAGCCCCGGCUAACUACGUGCCAGCAGCCGCGGUAAUACGUAGGGGGCAAGCGUUAUCCGGAUUUACUGGGUGUAAAGGGAGCGUAGACGGCAGUGCAAGUCUGGAGUGAAAGGCGGGGGCUCAACCCCCGGACUGCUCUGGAAACUGUACGGCUGGAGUGCAGGAGAG